RNAcentral lists this ribosomal RNA (739 nucleotides) under uncultured Providencia sp. RNAcentral's name for it is "bacterial SSU rRNA". It matches the Rfam family "Bacterial small subunit ribosomal RNA", at positions 761 to 1502 of the family's 1533-position model. The record is from RNAcentral. Lineage: Bacteria; Pseudomonadati; Pseudomonadota; Gammaproteobacteria; Enterobacterales; Morganellaceae.
GUGGGGAGCAACAGGAUUAGAUACCCUGGUAGUCCACGCUGUAAACGAUGUCGAUUGGAGGUUGUUCCCUUGGGAGUGGCUUUCGGAGCUAACGCGGUAAAUCGACCGCCUGGGGAGUACGGCCGCAAGGUUAAAACUCAAAUGAAUUGACGGGGGCCCGCACAAGCGGUGGAGCAUGUGGUUUAAUUCGAUGCAACGCGAAGAACCUUACCUACUCUUGACAUCCAGAGAAUUUAGCAGAGAUGCUUUAGUGCCUUCGGGAACUCUGAGACAGGUGCUGCAUGGCUGUCGUCAGCUCGUGUUGUGAAAUGUUGGGUUAAGUCCCGCAACGAGCGCAACCCUUAUCCUUUGUUGCCAGCACAUUAUGGUGGGAACUCAAAGGAGACUGCCGGUGAUAAACCGGAGGAAGGUGGGGAUGACGUCAAGUCAUCAUGGCCCUUACGAGUAGGGCUACACACGUGCUACAAUGGCGUAUACAAAGAGAAGCGACCUCGCGAGAGCAAGCGGAACUCAUAAAGUACGUCGUAGUCCGGAUUGGAGUCUGCAACUCGACUCCAUGAAGUCGGAAUCGCUAGUAAUCGUAGAUCAGAAUGCUACGGUGAAUACGUUCCCGGGCCUUGUACACACCGCCCGUCACACCAUGGGAGUGGGUUGCAAAAGAAGUAGGUAGCUUAACCUUCGGGAGGGCGCUUACCACUUUGUGAUUCAUGACUGGGGUGAAGUCGUAACAAGGUAACCA